Carlito syrichta (Philippine tarsier) is the source of this 474-nucleotide RNA transcript. It is a transcript of the gene named proline-rich protein 13 pseudogene, with no coding region annotated. NCBI's taxonomy places the organism in Eukaryota, Metazoa, Chordata, Mammalia, Primates, Tarsiidae. The record is from RefSeq and is a predicted model, not a curated record. The transcript has a single exon.
GAAAUCGAGCUCAGGAGGUGGUGGAAAGGCUGGGGGGAAACAACUGAACAUGUGGAAUCCCAAUGCCGGGCAGCCCGGACCAACUCCAUAUCUCCCCAACAUCGGGUACCCUGGAGGUUCCAAUCCUGCCCAUCCAACACCUGUCAAUCCAGCCUUUUCUCCCAGCCCCUUUCCCUGUCCUCCAGGACCUCCCCAGGGGAAUCCAGCUUUCCCCUCCAGGCGGGCCCCCUCAUUCUGUGCCACAGUCAGGGUAUCCAGGAUGCCAACCUUCCGGUCCCUAUCCUCCUCCAUAGCCUCCGCCUGCCCCCGGUAUGCCUCCUGUAAAUCCCUAGCAUGUUAAGACCAGGAAUGGUAAUGGACAAGAAGAUGUGGAAGAAAAUGAAGAAAGCUCAUAAGGAGAUGCACAAACACCAUAAGCACGGCAAGCAUUCCUCCUCCUCUUCCUCCUCCUCUUCCAGCAGUGACUCUGACUGA